GAUGAACGCUGGCGGCGUGCCUAAUACAUGCAAGUCGAGCGAACAGACGAGGAGCUUGCUCCUCUGACGUUAGCGGCGGACGGGUGAGUAACACGUGGAUAACCUACCUAUAAGACUGGGAUAACUUCGGGAAACCGGAGCUAAUACCGGAUAAUAUAUUGAACCGCAUGGUUCAAUAGUGAAAGACGGUUUUGCUGUCACUUAUAGAUGGAUCCGCGCCGCAUUAGCUAGUUGGUAAGGUAACGGCCUACCAAGGCAACGAUGCGUAGCCGACCUGAGAGGGUGGUCGGCCACACUGGAACUGAGACACGGUCCAGACUCCUACGGGAGGCAGCAGUAGGGAAUCUUCCGCAAUGGGCGAAAGCCUGACGGAGCAACGCCGCGUGAGUGAUGAAGGUCUUCGGAUCGUAAAACUCUGUUAUUAGGGAAGAACAAAUGUGUAAGUAACUAUGCACGUCUUGACGGUACCUAAUCAGAAAGCCACGGCUAACUACGUG
RNAcentral lists this ribosomal RNA (497 nucleotides) under uncultured bacterium. RNAcentral describes it as "partial 16S ribosomal RNA". It matches the Rfam family "Bacterial small subunit ribosomal RNA", at positions 28 to 507 of the family's 1533-position model. The record is from RNAcentral.